UUCAAUAGCAACACGGGUAAU
Non-coding RNA from Caenorhabditis elegans, 21 nucleotides. Lineage: Eukaryota; Metazoa; Nematoda; Chromadorea; Rhabditida; Rhabditidae. The record is from Ensembl.